Daphnia pulicaria is the source of this 319-nucleotide long non-coding RNA. RefSeq lists it as uncharacterized. The transcript has 4 exons. The record is from RefSeq and is a predicted model, not a curated record. Lineage: Eukaryota; Metazoa; Arthropoda; Branchiopoda; Diplostraca; Daphniidae.
UUCAAGAAUGGCUGCCGUGGUUAGUUGUAUAUGGCUCGUCUGCUUGCAAGUCAUGCUGUGCUCUUUGCAAUAGAUUUUUUACUUUUUCUGCAUUCUCUGUUCAUUCGUCAGUGUUGAUGUUUGACGCGUUAUAGGUCUCUUCAAUUUGUGAUUUCAAAUAAAAUGGGAAACGAAAGAAAACCAACAAGGAUUUACGACGACGUUGCAUCGACUUCACCUAGAAUCGCGCGAAUGAAUGAAGGUUCUAGAAAGUGCAAAGCACGUUCCAGUCCAAUACCAGAUGAUGGUUCACAUUCACCUCUAGUUGAGGUCGAUGACC